GUCUGGGUCCUGCGCAAUAGGAUGCCGUGAACCUUGUCAGGUCCGGAAGGAAGCAGCAAUAAGCGGAAGUUCUUAUGUGCCGCAGAUAAGCCUUUUCCUA
Molecule: non-coding RNA, 100 nt
Organism: Eubacterium sp.
Lineage: Bacteria; Bacillati; Bacillota; Clostridia; Eubacteriales; Eubacteriaceae
Rfam family: Bacterial small signal recognition particle RNA
About the family: The signal recognition particle (SRP) is a universally conserved ribonucleoprotein involved in the co-translational targeting of proteins to membranes. Archaeal SRP consists of a 7S RNA and homologues of the eukaryotic SRP19 and SRP54 proteins. In most bacteria, the SRP consists of a 4.5S RNA and the Ffh protein (a homologue of the eukaryotic SRP54 protein).
Source: Rfam